This 348-nucleotide ribosomal RNA is filed under the name uncultured Aquabacterium sp. RNAcentral's name for it is "bacterial SSU rRNA". It matches the Rfam family "Bacterial small subunit ribosomal RNA", at positions 1031 to 1382 of the family's 1533-position model. Lineage: Bacteria; Pseudomonadati; Pseudomonadota; Betaproteobacteria; Burkholderiales; Sphaerotilaceae. The record is from RNAcentral.
AACACAGGUGCUGCAUGGCCGUCGUCAGCUCGGUGUCGUGAGAUGUUGGGUUAAGUCCCGCAACGAGCGCAACCCUUGUCAUUAGUUGCUACCGCAAGGAGCACUCUAAUGAGACUGCCGGUGACAAACCGGAGGAAGGUGGGGAUGACGUCAGGUCCUCAUGGCCCUUAUGGGUAGGGCUACACACGUCAUACAAUGGCCGGUACAGAGGGCUGCCAACCCGCGAGGGGGAGCCAAUCCCAGAAAACCGGUCGUAGUCCGGAUCGUAGUCUGCAACUCGACUGCGUGAAGUCGGAAUCGCUAGUAAUCGCGGAUCAGCUUGCCGCGGUGAAUACGUUCCCGGGUCUU